CAACUGCGAUACGUAGUGUGAAUUGCAGAACUCAGCGAACCAUCGAGACCUUGAACGCACCUUGCGCCCGCGGCCACCCGCGGGCAUGCCUGUCUGAGCGUCGUCAUAUUUAUCUCCCUGCCGGGGACCCUGCAGGUUACCCAGGGGAGGAGAGUGAGUGUCAGGAAAUCCUCCCUGUCGCUCGAAACCCAGAGGAAGCCACGUGUGCAGUGGUCCCACCAGGAGGCCUCUAUUUACCGCCAGCCGCAAAAGAGGAACGUCACCAGCUCGCUCAGCGAGAAGAACGUCCCCAAGCGGACUGGUGGGAGCUUCUUGGAAGUGGACCUUUUGCCGCUUCUCAGGGCUACUUGGCCCAAACCAAACCCAGCGACCUCAGAUCAGGCAAGGAUACCCGCCGAAUUUAA
RNAcentral lists this unclassified non-coding RNA (404 nucleotides) under uncultured Ophiostoma. RNAcentral describes it as "sequence contains ITS1". The stretch from base 1 to 103 matches the Rfam family "5.8S ribosomal RNA", at positions 50 to 154 of the family's 154-position model. Lineage: Eukaryota; Fungi; Ascomycota; Sordariomycetes; Ophiostomatales; Ophiostomataceae. The record is from RNAcentral.